CCAAUUGUAGCGCAAUGGAUAGCGCGUUGGACUUCUUAUCCAAAGGUCGUGGGUUCGAAUCCCACCAGAGAUGGC
This 75-nucleotide transfer RNA is filed under the name Trichonephila inaurata madagascariensis. RNAcentral's name for it is "tRNA-Arg". The stretch from base 6 to 67 matches the Rfam family "tRNA", at positions 6 to 65 of the family's 71-position model. Rfam says of the family: Transfer RNA (tRNA) molecules are approximately 80 nucleotides in length. Their secondary structure includes four short double-helical elements and three loops (D, anti-codon, and T loops). The record is from RNAcentral. Lineage: Eukaryota; Metazoa; Arthropoda; Arachnida; Araneae; Nephilidae.